This 400-nucleotide ribosomal RNA is filed under the name Urospora sp. ASV_16. RNAcentral describes it as "SSU rRNA". It matches the Rfam family "Eukaryotic small subunit ribosomal RNA", at positions 592 to 998 of the family's 1831-position model. Lineage: Eukaryota; Viridiplantae; Chlorophyta; Ulvophyceae; Ulotrichales; Ulotrichaceae. The record is from RNAcentral.
CAAUAGCGUAUAUUUAAGUUGUUGCAGUUAAAAAGCUCGUAGUUGGAUUUCGGGUGGGUACCGCCGGUCUCCCACUGGGUAUGUACUGGCGUGGCCCGCCUUGCUGUCGGGGACGAUCUCCUGGGCUUUACUGUCCGGGAAUCGGAGUCGACGAUGUUACUUUGAGUAAAUUAGAGUGUUCAAAGCAAGCCUACGCUCUGAAUAUAAUAGCAUGGGAUAACACGACAGGACUCUGGCCUAUCGUGUUGGUCUGUAGGACCGGAGUAAUGAUUAAGAGGGACAGUCGGGGGCAUUCGUAUUCCAUUGUCAGAGGUGAAAUUCUUGGAUUUAUGGAAGACGAACAUCUGCGAAAGCAUUUGUCAAGGAUGUUUUCAUUGAUCAAGAACGAAAGUUGGGGGCU